This 497-nucleotide ribosomal RNA is filed under the name uncultured bacterium. Its description in RNAcentral is "partial 16S ribosomal RNA". It matches the Rfam family "Bacterial small subunit ribosomal RNA", at positions 28 to 507 of the family's 1533-position model. The record is from RNAcentral.
GAUGAACGCUGGCGGCGUGCCUAAUACAUGCAAGUCGAGCGAACAGAUGAGGAGCUUGCUCCUCUGACGUUAGCGGCGGACGGGUGAGUAACACGUGGAUAACCUACCUAUAAGACUGGGAUAACUUCGGGAAACCGGAGCUAAUACCGGAUAAUAUAUUGAACCGCAUGGUUCAAUAGUGAAAGACGGUUUUGCUGUCACUUAUAGAUGGAUCCGCGCCGCAUUAGCUAGUUGGUAGGGUAACGGCUUACCAAGGCAACGAUGCGUAGCCGACGUGAGAGGGUGGUCGGCCACACUGGAACUGAGACACGGUCCAGACGCCUACGGGAGGCAGCAGUAGGGAAUCUUCCGCAAUGGGCGAAAGCCUGACGGAGCAACGCCGCGUGAGUGAUGAAGGUCUUCGGAUCGUAAAACUCUGUUAUUAGGGAAGAACAAAUGUGUAAGUAACUAUGCACGUCUUGACGGUACCUAAUCAGAAAGCCACGGCUAACUACGUG